UACGAAGGGGGCGAGCGUUGUUCGGAUUUACUGGGCGUAAAGGGCGCGCAGGCGGCUCAUUUUGUCAGGCGUGAAAGCCCCGGGCUUAACCUGGGAACUGCGUUUGAUACGGAUGGGCUAGAGUUCGGGAGAGGAGAGUGGAAUUCCCAGUGUAGAGGUGAAAUUCGUAGAUAUUGGGAAGAACACCGGUGGCGAAGGCGGCUCUCUGGACCGAUACUGACGCUGAGGAGCGAAAGUGUGGGGAGCGAACAGG
This 253-nucleotide ribosomal RNA is filed under the name uncultured bacterium. Its description in RNAcentral is "partial 16S ribosomal RNA". It matches the Rfam family "Bacterial small subunit ribosomal RNA", at positions 524 to 776 of the family's 1533-position model. The record is from RNAcentral.